UCAAAAGACAGGUAUUCAUAUUCAAGGCGUUCAGAUUUUCAACUGAUUUCAAAGAUAAAACACCAACAGGGGGCGAAAGAGUGUAUGCAUUGUGGAACCCAUCAUUAGCUUGUGUUUCCCUGGGGAACAUAUAUACUGGUGCACCUUUGUGAUAGCAGGUGGUGAAAUGUUUGGUGGAAAAGCAUUUCACUGGAAGUCCUUCACGGAAGAGGAGACUCUCAUCCAUACACAUUCAGCUCAUUUAGGAUUCUGGACACUCAACCGGUAGGCACAUGGACAUUGUUGUGUAAAAUUGUUGCCAGUUAGGUGUUUAUUUGUGUUGAGAAUUGAGACCAAUUGUCUAAUUUAGUAUAUAGUAUAAUUUAGAUAAUAUGACUACAUUAAGAUUAUAUAUUUAAUUUGAAAUGACCUUACUUGAAGUAAUGUAUAUUUCUUUUUGUGUUUUGCCUUUAAAGGUUAUCAACCUAACUAACUAAUGAACUAAUUAACUAACUAACUGACUACAGAAAUAAAAGAAGUCAGAAGAAAAUUGAGUUGUCCCUUGCGUCCUUCAGUCCUUAAAGGCCUUUUUCAAGUUUGGGCAAAGAGCUGCAGUGUGAACCAUACACAACUUGACAGUUGAUAACCGCGUGGCAGUGAAGACAAAAGGAUUAACGGCCUGAAGUCAGGAAAGCUGUCGUCGCAGAGAGGAAUAUUGACUGACAUCUCAACAUGGCGGAGGAAGCUCUUGGAAUAACAGUGAAGGAGCUGAAGCAAAAAAUAACUUUAGCUAAAAGCACUUUUACCAAGCAGGCAAACUUCCUUAGCAGAGUCGCAAAGCACAUGACUAAAAGAUAACUACAAGAGGAGUUCAAGAAGCUCAAGUCGGAGGCGAGGACGGUCAGUGAGACAAAUGACGAGUACAGGGCUGGCCUUCUGGCAGACAUUGAAGCUGGAACCGAUGAGGGUGAAGAAGCUGAACUGAGCAAGGAGAAGCAGGCUGAACUUGAGAAGACGUUCCAAGAAUGCGAGGCACGAUUGGAUGAGGUCAAGGAGAUGGUCCAGUCCAAUCUAUGGCCUAGAUAUGGCGAAAAUGAGGUGAAGUCUGCAAUCCAUGAAGCCGAGACAUCUGAGCAACUCCAUCACAGGCUACCUGUUACCGCUGUAAACAGAGAUGGCUUUGAGCUACGGUGGGAUAGUGUGAAAACACAAGUCCAAAAUGCAAUCGCAAGCCUAGCAGAGUGGGAGAUGUGGAUUCCGGUGGCAGAAAAGGAAAGGCUCGGAGGGAGAGUGAAGGAUCUGAAGGCAUUCGGCAACAACCUUGAAGCAAGGAGGGCAGGAUUUCUCACAGCACAAAGAAUUGCAGAAGAUGAGAGAGACAGAGGGAGAGUGCUGCAGGUUCCCAUGCCAGCUCCACAACCGACACUGAGGAUAAAGCCAAUCUGUCUACCCAAGUUCAGUGGGUAUAAAAGGAACUUCCAUCGAUGGAGAAGAGACUGGGAGAGUCUGCAAAAGCAGGGGGAACCAACAGGCUCAGUCGAAGUAAAGAGGAUCCAACUCAUUGACAGUAUAGAUGAGAGGAUAUGCAGAGGCCUCCGUUUGUCUUCCUACAACACUGCUGAGGACAUGUUCAGGGUGCUGGAAAACAGAUAUGGAAACAAGUCUACAAUUGCCUUGGAGAUAAUGGAGGAUCUGGAGAAAAUUCCUGCUUUAAGGGCAAAUCAGCCUAGAAAAGUUAUCGACAUGAUCCAAACUAUAGAGAAGGCCCUGGAUGACCUCACGGCGCUUGAAAACACAGGAGCCAUCAACAACCCUCUAGUGAUCAGAUCCAUAGAAAGCAAGUUACCUGACGACAUCAAGAGAGAGUGGCUUGUCUUCAUGGUUAAUCCGAGGAAUAAUGUCACACCAGAUAAUCACUUUGAGAACCUUCUUAAAUUCCUGAAAACACAAGAGGAAAUUCUUGAAAAACUGGAGCAGCUGGGAGUGAGUGAAAGGCCAAAAACGAGAAAUGCUUGCAUGGAGAGGAAAUAUGCAUCCACGCGGUCCACAACGAAAGGAGGCUGUGUUGUGUGUGUGGUGAUGAAAAGCACAGAGAAAAUAUAUUCUUUUGCAAGCGUUUCAAGGAACUGAAGCCGGUGGAAAAGUUGGCUGCUGUAGAAAAGCUCGGGGGCCUGCAAGAGGUGCUUGGUCUGUCAUGGAGAAGAUGAUGAAUGCAAAGAGACAUACCUGUGCAGGAACAGAAACUGUAAAAAAGACCACCAUUUCUUUCUAUGCCUGAAGGGAGACUUCAGGAGGAGUGACUCAGAAAGAAGACAAUUCAAUGUGAGAAGGCAUACGCGGACUGAGGAGCGGGAAGAAUUUGUAUCUAAACUCUCCCCAGAGAUGGCGGACAAAUUCAAGAGAGCGUUCACCAACAUCACCGCAAAGACAAACUGUGGUGAAAAGAUCCAGCUUGGAGAGAUUGUGUCAGGUGCAGUAGAAGAAUUGCCAGUUAUUCUAAUGCUGCUCGAGGUAACUGCCAAUGCAGGACAAAAAAUUGGAACCCUGAUCGACUUGGCAUCAGACACAAAUUAUAUCACCCACAGAGCUGCCAGGAGAUUAAAUCUUCGAAGUGAAAACAUCACUUUAGUCGUCCAUGGAGUUGGGGGGAUGGCCAUGAAGGUUAAAACCAGAAGAUAUCUCCUCAGAGUGAGGGUCAAAAUGCCUAGAGGCACAGAAAGAGCCCAUGAGCUUGUCUGCUAUGGUUUGAAUGAAAUUGCCAACAUCCACAGAGUCAUCAAACCUGAGCAACUCAAGAAGUUCUUCCCAGAAGUCAGUCUAGGAGAUCUGAGGAGACCGGAGAGCAUUGAGCUCUCCGGUCUGAAGGAAGACUUGCUCCGCAAAGAGUGAAGAUGAUUGGAGACCUUGUCUUAUGGGAGAGCCCGCUAGGAAAGAUUGUUGGUGGAGCACAUCCAGAUCUGUUUGAAGAAGUCGAUAUGGUCUGGAACGCACUUUGCUCGAUCCAUGAGAGCAACCGCUGUCAAGUAUCAAGAGAUAAUUAAAACACGAGUUCACAGCUGAAACCAAAAGCACAGUUGCUCGCAGAGAGUUCUUGGAUUGGUGGAAAUGGGAUAGCAUUGGAGCAGCUUGCGAACCGAAGUGUGGAGGAUGCCGGUGCGGCAAUUGUCAACCAGGAGGCAAGGAAAUGACUCUGAGUGAGGAAAGGGAGCUGGAGAUCAUAAGGAAAGGCCUCACGUACAUCAAAGCAGAUGCUCACAGCGAUGAACCGCACUGGGACACAAAAUACCCCUGGAUUCAAGAUCCAAGUUCCCUUCCCUACAACAGGAGUGGGGUUGAAGCCACCUUCUUAAGAACAGAAAAACAACUCAAGAAAGAGCCAGAGUGGAAAAUGGCAUACACAGCUCAAGUGCAUGAAAUGGUGGAGAGAAGAGCAGCAAAGAAACUCACCAAAGAGAUGAUCGCCAGCUGGAAAGGACCAGUAUGGUACGUCAGCCACUUGGUGGCGCCAAACCCACACUGUCACAACACCUGUGCGACUGGUAUGGAACAGCAGCCAGAAGUUUAAAGGGGUCAGCAUGAAUGACCUGCUGCUGAAAAGGCCUGAUGUCCUCAAUCCCAUCCGAGCAGUACUACUCAGGUUCAGAAGAGGUGUCCAUGCUGCUCUUGGCGACAUCAGGAAGAUGUACAAUUCGGUGUGGUUAGAAAACCUGGAGAUGCAUCUCCACAGAUUUCUCUGGAGAAACACUGAGGAGGAAGAGAUUGAAGAGUAUGCCAUCACCAGAGUCAACAUUGGCGAUCGACCAGCAGGGUGCAUUGCACAACUGGCCAUGAGAGAGACAGCAAAACUGCCCAUGUUCGCUCACCUGGAGGAGGAACGUAGGAUCCUUGAAGAGGAUGCCUAUGUCGAUGACAUCCUGACUUCCCAUAAUGACUUACAAAAGCUGGACAAGGACACCAAAGGAGUUGAAGAGAUCCUGAGGACAGGCGGACUUUUCCUCAAACCCUGGGUCCGGUCAGGCCAAAGUGGGAGGCAGGAGAUCGUACCAGGAGAACAAGGAGCGGUGUCAGGCACAGUACUUAUUCUCCCAAACCAGAUGAGGAAAGGAGACAAUAAAGCCCUUGGAGUUGGAUACCUUGUUGAAGAGGACGAACUGUACCUUAUGACUUCAAUCAAUUUCUCAAAGAGGAAAAAGAAGAUGAGAGUCGGACAAAAUCUCCUUGAAGAAGAGGUGAGAGGGAAAACUCCAAACCCACUGACGAGAAGAGAACUGCUAAGCCAAGUAGCUAGCCUGUAUGACCCAAUAGGCCUCGUCACACCUGCCAAACAAAAGGGCGCCAUUCUUGUCAGAAAGGCGUUUCAAGAAGCUGGAGGCAAAACUCUGACCCGAAACACGUGGGACAAACCUCUGUCUGAACAAUUGAGAGAAGAAGCCAUCAAACUGUUUGAGGAGUACACACGUCUUAGCCAAAUCACCUUCCACAGAAGCCUCACACCAGUCAACUGGCUUGGUAAACCUUGGGGAAUAACAUUCUCUGACGGAAGUGAGAAGAGCUAUGGAGCUGUAGUGUACUUCAGAUGGGAAACCGAGCAAGGCAUCCAAGUCAGGUUGGUUGAGUCCAAAGCAAAACUCACACCUUUGGACCAAAAGGGGAGGCAGUGAAAGCUGAAAUCUGCGGUGCUGUCUGCGCAGCACGACUUCCAAAGUACAUUGAAAAACACAGUCAUAUAGAAAUUGAACGAUGGCUCCAUCUGCUGGACAGUCAAACUGUGGUGGGAGCUAUCCAGAGAGACAGUUAUGGGUAUCAAUCUUUCUUCGCGAACAGAGUCGGAGAGAUCCAGAAAUCCACAUCCGUCGAAGACUGGUGGUGGAUCCCGGGAGGCCUGAACAGUGCUGACAUCAUAACAAGAGGGGCAGCCCCGGAAGACCUCCAAGAAGAUUCCAUGUGGCAAAAUGGACCAGCGUUCCUGCGGCAACCCAUGGAAGAGUGGCCACAGAAGUCAGCCAAAGAAAUUGCAGCUUAUGCCAAGGAAGGCAUAAACAAACUUCAAAGGAAAUAUUUCUCUGCAGCACUGACCAGAGCGCAGGCCAAGAGAAACAAGAAUGAUGUACUUCCUGAAGUGGGAGUUCAGAAGGAAAGUCAGAGUGAUGCACAGCAAAGCAGGCAAAAUAACCCAGAUGAACCUAAGACUAAGAUCCGAAGACCACCAGCUGGCUCUGCGGUAACAAAACUGAUUGACAUCAGGAAAUUCAGCAGCCUGACCAGGCUGAUCCGAGUCACUGCCUGGGUUUGGAGAGCUGCAACGAAAUGGAAAGAAGUGUUGACCAGGAAUUCAGCCUCAGAUAAACCAAAGUGGGAGGAAAUUCUUUCAACAAACUGGAAGUCCAGAGGCAAACAAGCUGUACUCACUGUUGGGGAGUGUGAAGAUGCACUAAGAGACCUGUUCCUUGCAGCACAAGAAGGUAUAACCUUUCAAGGCACCACUCUCAACAGACUCGCUGUUUACAGAGAUGAAGAGACUGGGCUCUUGGUUUGUGGAGGGAGGUUCAAGAUCUUUGAUGAGGAUGAGACUGCUGUACCAAUUCUACCAUAUGAGGCAUGGAUAUCCACUCUCCUAGCCCAAGAGGCCCAUGAUGCAAACCAUAAAGAAAUAGCAGGUACACUCCUCCGGAUGAGGAAGAAGGCCUGGGUGAUAAAAGGCCGGAAGCUGGCUAAAAAGAGAGUUGACAACUGUGUGGUGUGCAGAAAGGCUAGGGCCAGAAAGUGCCAACAAAUCAUGAGUGACCUUCCACCCGAGCGUAUAACACCAGCCAGACCAUUUGAGUACACAACAGUGGACUUAUUUGGACCAUAUGAAGUCAAGGACGAGGUGAGAAAGAAAGUCAAGCUCAAGGUGUGGGGAAUUGUCUUCUGCUGUAUGGCAUCCAGAGCUAUACACACAGAUGUUGUCAGUGACCAGUCAACUGAAGGCUUCUUACUGGCCUACCAAAGAUUCACGGCACUGAGAGGGCAUCCAAAGAAACUGUGGUCAGAUCCUGGAAAGAACUUUGUGGGUGCCAGACCUGCCCUCAAAGAGCUCUACCACUUCCUGGAUCAACAAAUUACAUCUGAGCUUGAAAAUGAAGCUUCAAAGCAUGGAACAGAGUGGAGCUGGAAGAUCCACCCAGCAGACUCCCCUCACAGGAAUGGUGCUGCAGAAGCAGCUGUUCGCACUGUGAAGCGGGCCUUGCACAAUAUGAGAGGCGAAGGACUCUUCACAUGGAGUGAGUUUCAAACAUUUAUGUUCAUGGCUGCUAACCUUGCCAAUGAAAGGCCCAUAGAUGCCAGGACUCAGAGCCGGGAGGACUGCAUAGAAUACAUCAGCCCUAAUUCUCUUCAGCUUGGAAGGACUGGACCUAGGGGAGACUUAGGAAGCUUUGAGUUUGAAGACUACUCCUACAAAAGGUUAAGAGUCAUUCAAGCAGAAGUUAACUGGUUCUGGAGGAAGUGGAGUCAGUUGGCUGGACCUAACCUGUUUGUGAGGAGUAAGUGGCACACAAAGCAGCGAAACGUGGCCGUUGGAGACGUCGUCUGGCUUGCAGACCAGAACGCUUUGAGGAGUCAGUAUAAGCUUGGUAGGGUCGUCAAUGUCAACGCUGACAAGGAGGGCAUUGUGAGAGAUGCAAAUAUACGAACCUUCCCAAGUUAUCCCAUCUCAACUUUGAAGCAUGUUUGUGGAGACAAAGCAAAGAAACGUUCAACCAAAAUCCCUGCUACAAUUCUUCACAGGGACGUCAGGCGUUUGGUUGUGUUAUUACCUGUAGAAGAGCAGAAGUAAAGCGAUCGAAGAUGGAGCCGAUGUGACCUCCUUGGGUUCAAGAACCAGGAGAUCAAGUGGGAGGUGUUGCGUCAAAAGACAGGUAUUCAUAUUCAAGGCGUUCAGAUUUUCAACUGAUUUCAAAGAUAAAACACCAACAGGGGGCGAAAGAGUGUAUGCAUUGUGGAACCCAUCAUUAGCUUGUGUUUCCCUGGGGAACAUAUAUACUGGUGCACCUUUGUGAUAGCAGGUGGUGAAAUGUUUGGUGGAAAAGCAUUUCACUGGAAGUCCUUCACGGAAGAGGAGACUCAUCCAUACACAUUCAGCUCAUUUAGGAUUCUGGACACUCAACCGUCUGAGGACAGAGCCCAGUUUGAGAUCCUCAAGUCCCAGAUGUACGCCGAGUGAGCAGCCAAGAGGGACCGCACACCUAAACGAGCCAGGGCCAUGCCAGAGGAUGAGCCUGUCCAGAAAGGCCCAUCCCUCCCCCGUGUCAUCGAUGGCCAGCCAGCGUAUACGGUGAGACGCCUCCUGAGGGUUCGACCACGGGGCAGGGGUUUCCAGUACCUGGUUGACUGGGAGGGUUGCUGUCACUUCCUGAUCUGUUUCACCUGUCCUUGUGAUUGUCUCUACCCCCUCUAGGUGUCGCUUAUUUUCCCUGGUGUAUGUAUCCCUGUGUUUCCUGUCUCUCUGUGCCAGUUCGUCUUGUCAAGUCAACCAGUGUUUUGACCAUUGCCUGCCCUGACUCUGUACCCGUAUGCUUGACUAUUCUGCCUGCCCUGACCUCGAGCCUGCCUGCCUGCCUGGACUAUGACCUUGUUAUGAACUUUUUACCUGUACACGACCAUUAUCUUGCCUGCCCCUUGGAUCCUAAUAAAUAUCAGAGACUCGAA
RNA transcript from Salmo salar (Atlantic salmon), 7668 nucleotides. RefSeq lists it as uncharacterized. Lineage: Eukaryota; Metazoa; Chordata; Actinopteri; Salmoniformes; Salmonidae. The record is from RefSeq and is a predicted model, not a curated record.